Long non-coding RNA from Ornithorhynchus anatinus (platypus), 2415 nucleotides. RefSeq lists it as uncharacterized. The transcript has 6 exons. The record is from RefSeq and is a predicted model, not a curated record. NCBI's taxonomy places the organism in Eukaryota, Metazoa, Chordata, Mammalia, Monotremata, Ornithorhynchidae.
CAGGUUUGUGAAUGAGGGAAGAAUUUGGUACUUCCCUGGGAAAGCUGAAAUCCUACUUGGCAGCCCGAUUUCUUGUCCCCCUUCUCCCCCCGCCCCCCAACCUUUUUUGUUUGUUUUUGUUUUUCUGAGGAACCUGGCUCUUGGGUACGGAGCCCUAAGUGUGUGCUCGCUUGGUUUUGAUUGUGUCGAUAAAAUGCGGUUUCAGAUUUUGCUCCAAAUGAGACCGGUUUCCUGUCUGUGUUCGAAGGGGGCGAAGUCUACAGGCUGCUGUUUUAAAAGGAGGCUGAGAGGGGGGGGAAAUCAGAAACAAAAAUGUGUUUUCAAAAGAUCUCCGCCACCGGCAGCCAGGGUCAUUCCAAGAAGCCAAGAAGCGGCGGCCUCUUUCCCCGUCCCCGUCCCCCCCCCCCCCCCCAUCUAGGUUUGGGGAAAUAAGGAUAAGGGGCAUUUCUGAAAGUAGCCCCAACCCAAGCGCAGACAACCCCCAGAGAGUCGUCUCUGCCCCCUUCAGCUCCAUCCCAUCCUGGCCACACCAGUUCCCUCACUGACUUUCCGGCGUGACCCUCCCUUCCCGCUCCCAGAGAGUCGGGAUUUCCCACGGUCCCUCAAUUCACCCAGGCCCUGCAGCUGCCACUUCGCGUGCCCAACUCGAAAUCUCUGGCCCACGUCAUGUGACUCGGUCGAUCAAGUGUCCAGUCCAGAGUCUUGGGCCUCUCCACCAUCCCGAAGCCACCGCAACCGAAAUGGUGGGAGCUGGAGAUGAUGGGCUGGAUCUGACAGGUCAGCCCGCCUUGAAGGGCGAGGAACGCACGUUGGAGUUUAGCACCUACUGACCAAUGAAGAAAGGCCCUCGCCAUCCUUCCUAUAUGUCUCCCCUUUCCCGGAGGCGGUCGAGUGGUCAUUUGCAAGACGCUUCCAGGGGAAACGCUCGAGGAAAGCUCGCAGGAGCGUCUGUGGAUGCAAAUGCUGUCGUUGAUCUCAGGCCUAGCGACUUGGACGAUCAGAAAAACGCUCGACGUACUUACGGAAAGCGCCCUCAAACGUGGUAUCCAAGUUGCUGGUUUGAGGAAAAGGCACCAGGGUUUGCUCUUACACCUGGCAUGAAGGCCUGGGAGAGAUCGAAGGUGAUCUCAACAAGAAAGCUGCCUGCUCCCUCACUCCAAGGUGCCGUCCGGUCGCGAUCUGAGUUGGGUGGCUGGCCGAGCGAAGACUCUGGGAAAUAAACACCUCCGUAUUCGCUUUCUGUGAGCAAGGCCACCCCGCCCCCAGCCUACUACUCCUUGGUUCUCUAUGUCUGCAAACCCUGGCCGCCAGAACAACGAAGUGACCCUGCUCUGCGAAGGCCCCCGUUCGCGAUGGGAAGAUGGGUCUCAUUCGCACCGAUUCUCUCGGUCCCGCACGCCGUCAUCGUGACAGUGGGACGGCGGGCACACGCUCCUUUUGGGGGGGUUUGAAUUCAGCUCCGGGGGUUAGAGGAUGGGGGAGGGGAGAGAGAGGAGGGGUGCUUGAAAGCCCCAGGGACCCUCUUCGUCAUGCCUUUCCUUGAAAUUUGACUUUUAUCACGUUAAAAACCUGCAGCGGCUCCAGAGAGCGCAGCCUGGAUUACCAAGACCCAAAUCAAUCAGAGAUCUCCCCUGGCACUCCGCCUGUCAAAGGGGACUUUGGGUGCUCUCCCCUGGGAUGCCGGCUCUAGGCCGGCCUUCCAGAAAGCAUGGCUAGGCAGGUCCAAACUAACCAUCGAGGCUUUCAGGAUGACCACUCUUCCCCACCACGCAGCAUCACUUUACAUAUUCUCUGCCUGCUGUUACCUUCAUGGGUAGCCCAGCCUACGCCCGCAGAUCUCUCCUUCGUCCAUUCCAGGAGGCCUCAAAUCAUUUCAGUUUAGGUUUCGUACCCGCAGAGGGUUCCCCAGCAAGCUUCUCUCUUUCCCCCAGCCUCCCAAUCGGGUGUGGCGCCCUCCUCUAUUUGUAGAAUUGUACUUUCCAAGCGCCUAGUACAGGGCUCUGCAUACGGUAAGUGCUCAAUAAAUACGAUUGAAUGAAUGAAUGAAUUUGUUUCCCUUCAUUUGCACCCCGGAAGGAUGCUCCUAAACCACAAGUUACAACUCACAAUUAUUUGUCCCUAAGCACUAAAAAGUGUAAGUUAGCCACACGGUCUGGGAAAGACGUAUCCCUCUCCCGUUCCCGCACUCCCCUACCCCCACCCCUACCACCCCAAUUUCCCUUUUACGGAACAGGUGAUCGAACGCAAAUUUCCCCUUGUAGUCCUCAAAAGCAAAGGAAUGGGGUCCCAUUAAUGAAUUGCAAACAUAGCAUGGCUUCUUGGGCCAGAAUAUCCGUCUCUGUAUGAUUUGCUGCCUGGGCACUGUGAACUUUACACGGAAAAACUACGAGGUUGUAAUAAAAAAAAAUUAAUAGA